AGCGUACACGGUGGAUGCCCUGGCAGUCAGAGGCGAUGAAGGACGUGCUAAUCUGCGAUAAGCGUCGGUGAGGUGAUAUGAACCGUUAUAACCGGCGAUUUCCGAAUGGGGAAACCCAGUGUGUUUCGACACACUAUCAUUAACUGAAUCCAUAGGUUAAUGAGGCGAACCGGGGGAACUGAAACAUCUAAGUACCCCGAGGAAAAGAAAUCAACCGAGAUUCCCCCAGUAGCGGCGAGCGAACGGGGAGGAGCCCAGAGCCUGAAUCAGUGUGUGUGUUAGUGGAAGCGUCUGGAAAGGCGUGCGAUACAGGGUGACAGCCCCGUACACAAAAAUGCACAUAUUGUGAGCUCGAUGAGUAGGGCGGGACACGUGGUAUCCUGUCUGAAUAUGGGGGGACCAUCCUCCAAGGCUAAAUACUCCUGACUGACCGAUAGUGAACCAGUACCGUGAGGGAAAGGCGAAAAGAACCCCGGCGAGGGGAGUGAAAAAGAACCUGAAACCGUGUACGUACAAGCAGUGGGAGCCUCUUUAUGGGGUGACUGCGUACCUUUUGUAUAAUGGGUCAGCGACUUAUAUUCUGUAGCAAGGUUAACCGAAUAGGGGAGCCGAAGGGAAACCGAGUCUUAACUGGGCGUUAAGUUGCAGGGUAUAGACCCGAAACCCGGUGAUCUAGCCAUGGGCAGGUUGAAGGUUGGGUAACACUAACUGGAGGACCGAACCGACUAAUGUUGAAAAAUUAGCGGAUGACUUGUGGCUGGGGGUGAAAGGCCAAUCAAACCGGGAGAUAGCUGGUUCUCCCCGAAAGCUAUUUAGGUAGCGCCUCGUGAAUUCAUCUCCGGGGGUAGAGCACUGUUUCGGCAAGGGGGUCAUCCCGACUUACCAACCCGAUGCAAACUGCGAAUACCGGAGAAUGUUAUCACGGGAGACACACGGCGGGUGCUAACGUCCGUCGUGAAGAGGGAAACAACCCAGACCGCCAGCUAAGGUCCCAAAGUCAUGGUUAAGUGGGAAACGAUGUGGGAAGGCCCAGACAGCCAGGAUGUUGGCUUAGAAGCAGCCAUCAUUUAAAGAAAGCGUAAUAGCUCACUGGUCGAGUCGGCCUGCGCGGAAGAUGUAACGGGGCUAAACCAUGCACCGAAGCUGCGGCAGCGACACUAUGUGUUGUUGGGUAGGGGAGCGUUCUGUAAGCCUGUGAAGGUGGCCUGUGAGGGUUGCUGGAGGUAUCAGAAGUGCGAAUGCUGACAUAAGUAACGAUAAAGCGGGUGAAAAGCCCGCUCGCCGGAAGACCAAGGGUUCCUGUCCAACGUUAAUCGGGGCAGGGUGAGUCGACCCCUAAGGCGAGGCCGAAAGGCGUAGUCGAUGGGAAACAGGUUAAUAUUCCUGUACUUGGUGUUACUGCGAAGGGGGGACGGAGAAGGCUAUGUUGGCCGGGCGACGGUUGUCCCGGUUUAAGCGUGUAGGCUGGUUUUCCAGGCAAAUCCGGAAAACCAAGGCUGAGGCGUGAUGACGAGGCACUACGGUGCUGAAGCGACAAAUGCCCUGCUUCCAGGAAAAGCCUCUAAGCAUCAGGUAACAUCAAAUCGUACCCCAAACCGACACAGGUGGUCAGGUAGAGAAUACCAAGGCGCUUGAGAGAACUCGGGUGAAGGAACUAGGCAAAAUGGUGCCGUAACUUCGGGAGAAGGCACGCUGAUAUGUAGGUGAAGCGACUUGCUCGUGGAGCUGAAAUCAGUCGAAGAUACCAGCUGGCUGCAACUGUUUAUUAAAAACACAGCACUGUGCAAACACGAAAGUGGACGUAUACGGUGUGACGCCUGCCCGGUGCCGGAAGGUUAAUUGAUGGGGUUAGCGGCAACGCGAAGCUCUUGAUCGAAGCCCCGGUAAACGGCGGCCGUAACUAUAACGGUCCUAAGGUAGCGAAAUUCCUUGUCGGGUAAGUUCCGACCUGCACGAAUGGCGUAAUGAUGGCCAGGCUGUCUCCACCCGAGACUCAGUGAAAUUGAACUCGCUGUGAAGAUGCAGUGUACCCGCGGCAAGACGGAAAGACCCCGUGAACCUUUACUAUAGCUUGACACUGAACAUUGAGCCUUGAUGUGUAGGAUAGGUGGGAGGCUUUGAAGUGUGGACGCCAGUCUGCAUGGAGCCGACCUUGAAAUACCACCCUUUAAUGUUUGAUGUUCUAACGUGGGCCCCUAAUCGGGGUUGCGGACAGUGUCUGGUGGGUAGUUUGACUGGGGCGGUCUCCUCCUAAAGAGUAACGGAGGAGCACGAAGGUUGGCUAAUCCUGGUCGGACAUCAGGAGGUUAGUGCAAUGGCAUAAGCCAGCUUGACUGCGAGCGUGACGGCGCGAGCAGGUGCGAAAGCAGGUCAUAGUGAUCCGGUGGUUCUGAAUGGAAGGGCCAUCGCUCAACGGAUAAAAGGUACUCCGGGGAUAACAGGCUGAUACCGCCCAAGAGUUCAUAUCGACGGCGGUGUUUGGCACCUCGAUGUCGGCUCAUCACAUCCUGGGGCUGAAGUAGGUCCCAAGGGUAUGGCUGUUCGCCAUUUAAAGUGGUACGCGAGCUGGGUUUAGAACGUCGUGAGACAGUUCGGUCCCUAUCUGCCGUGGGCGCUGGAGAACUGAGGGGGGCUGCUCCUAGUACGAGAGGACCGGAGUGGACGCAUCACUGGUGUUCGGGUUGUCAUGCCAAUGGCACUGCCCGGUAGCUAAAUGCGGAAGAGAUAAGUGCUGAAAGCAUCUAAGCACGAAACUUGCCCCGAGAUGAGUUCUCCCUGACUCCUUGA
Molecule: ribosomal RNA, 2787 nt
Filed under: Escherichia coli
Lineage: Bacteria; Pseudomonadati; Pseudomonadota; Gammaproteobacteria; Enterobacterales; Enterobacteriaceae
Description: bacterial LSU rRNA
Rfam family: Bacterial large subunit ribosomal RNA
Source: RNAcentral